UAGCCCUAAAUCUUGAUGACCCCGAACACAAACAUCCGCCUGAGAACUACGAGCACAAACGCUUAAAACUCUAAGGACUUGGCGGUGCUCUAAACCCACCUAGAGGAGCCUGUUCUAUAAUCGAUAACCCACGAUUCACCCGACCACCUCUUGCCAAAACAGCCUAUAUACCGCCGUCGCCAGCCCACCUCGUGAGAGCACAACAGUGAGCCCAACAGCCCACAGCCCACUAACAAGACAGGUCGAGGUAUAGCCUAUGAGAUGGAAGAAAUGGGCUACAUUUUCUAAAAUAGAAAACCCAACGAAAAGGGGCUUGAAACCUGCCCCCAGAAGGCGGAUUUAGCAGUAAAGUAGGA
This 356-nucleotide ribosomal RNA is filed under the name Ara macao (Scarlet macaw). RNAcentral describes it as "partial 12S small subunit ribosomal RNA". It matches the Rfam family "Bacterial small subunit ribosomal RNA", at positions 797 to 1348 of the family's 1533-position model. The record is from RNAcentral. Lineage: Eukaryota; Metazoa; Chordata; Aves; Psittaciformes; Psittacidae.